This 464-nucleotide ribosomal RNA is filed under the name uncultured Klebsiella sp. Its description in RNAcentral is "bacterial SSU rRNA". It matches the Rfam family "Bacterial small subunit ribosomal RNA", at positions 338 to 795 of the family's 1533-position model. Lineage: Bacteria; Pseudomonadati; Pseudomonadota; Gammaproteobacteria; Enterobacterales; Enterobacteriaceae. The record is from RNAcentral.
CCUACGGGAGGCAGCAGUGGGGAAUAUUGCACAAUGGGCGCAAGCCUGAUGCAGCCAUGCCGCGUGUGUGAAGAAGGCCUUCGGGUUGUAAAGCACUUUCAGCGGGGAGGAAGGCGGUGAGGUUAAUAACCUCAUCGAUUGACGUCACCCGCAGAAGAAGCACCGGCUAACUCCGUGCCAGCAGCCGCGGUAAUACGGAGGGUGCAAGCGUUAAUCGGAAUUACUGGGCGUAAAGCGCACGCAGGCGGUCUGUCAAGUCGGAUGUGAAAUCCCCGGGCUCAACCUGGGAACUGCAUUCGAAACUGGCAGGCUAGAGUCUUGUAGAGGGGGGUAGAAUUCCAGGUGUAGCGGUGAAAUGCGUAGAGAUCUGGAGGAAUACCGGUGGCGAAGGCGGCCCCCUGGACAAAGACUGACGCUCAGGUGCGAAAGCGUGGGGAGCAAACAGGAUUGAUACCCGAGUAGUC